GACGAACGCUGGCGGCGUGCUUAACACAUGCAAGUCGAACGGAAAAGCCCUGCUUGCAGGGUACUCGAGUGGCGAACGGGUGAGUAACACGUGGGUGAUCUGCCCUGCACUUCGGGAUAAGCUUGGGAAACUGGGUCUAAUACCGGAUAGAACCGCACUUUCGGGUGUGUGGUGGAAAGUUUUUUCGGUGUAGGAUGGGCUCGCGGCCUAUCAGCUUGUUGUUGGGGUAAUGGCCUGCCAAGGCGGCGAGGGGUAGCCGGCCUGUGAGGGUGUACGGCAACAUCGGGAGCGAGAAACUACCCAGACUCCUACGUGACGCUAGAGUGGGGAAGAAUGAGCGAUAGGGGAAACCCUGAUGCAUGCACGCCACCUGAGGGACGAAGGCCAGCAUGUUGAAAGCUCUGUUCGCCAGGGACGAAGCUCUUUGCGACGGUAGUUAGAUAAGAAGCACCGGCUAACUAGCUA
This 465-nucleotide ribosomal RNA is filed under the name uncultured bacterium. RNAcentral's name for it is "partial 16S ribosomal RNA". It matches the Rfam family "Bacterial small subunit ribosomal RNA", at positions 28 to 507 of the family's 1533-position model. The record is from RNAcentral.